RNAcentral lists this ribosomal RNA (484 nucleotides) under uncultured bacterium. RNAcentral's name for it is "partial 16S ribosomal RNA". It matches the Rfam family "Bacterial small subunit ribosomal RNA", at positions 30 to 507 of the family's 1533-position model. The record is from RNAcentral.
AUUGAACGCUGGCGGCAGGCCUAACACAUGCAAGUCGAGCGGAUGAAGGGAGCUUGCUCCUGGAUUCAGCGGCGGACGGGUGAGCAAUGCCUAGGAAUCUGCCUGGUAGUGGGGGAUAACGUCCGGAAACGGGCGCUAAUACCGCAUACGUCCUGAGGGAGAAAGUGGGGGAUCUUCGGACCUCACGCUAUCAGAUGAGCCUAGGUCGGAUUAGCUAGUUGGUGGGGUAAAGGCCUACCAAGGCGACGAUCCGUAACUGGUCUGAGAGGAUGAUCAGCCACACUGGAACUGAGACACGGUCCAGACUCCUACGGGAGGCAGCAGUGGGGAAUAUUGGACAAUGGGCGAAAGCCUGAUCCAGCCAUGCCGCGUGUGUGAAGAAGGUCUUCGGAUUGUAAAGCACUUUAAGUUGGGAGGAAGGGCAGUAAGUUAAUACCUUGCUGUUUUGACGUUACCAACAGAAUAAGCACCGGCUAACUUCGUG